RNAcentral lists this transfer RNA (76 nucleotides) under Candidatus Margulisiibacteriota bacterium. Its description in RNAcentral is "tRNA-Thr". It matches the Rfam family "tRNA". Rfam says of the family: Transfer RNA (tRNA) molecules are approximately 80 nucleotides in length. Their secondary structure includes four short double-helical elements and three loops (D, anti-codon, and T loops). Further hydrogen bonds mediate the characteristic L-shaped molecular structure. tRNAs have two regions of fundamental functional importance: the anti-codon, which is responsible for specific mRNA codon recognition, and the 3' end, to which the tRNAs corresponding amino acid is attached (by aminoacyl-tRNA synthetases). tRNAs cope with the degeneracy of the genetic code in two manners: having more than one tRNA (with a specific anti-codon) for a particular amino acid; and 'wobble' base-pairing, i.e. permitting non-standard base-pairing at the 3rd anti-codon position. Lineage: Bacteria; Bacillati; Candidatus Margulisiibacteriota. The record is from RNAcentral.
GCCGGUGUAGCUCAGUUGGUAGAGCAGCUGAUUUGUAAUCAGCGGGUCGUGGGUUCAAAUCCUAUCGCCGGCUCCA